CCUACGUGCGGCAGCAGUGGGGAAUAUUGCGCCAUGGGCGAAAGCCUGACGCAGCGACGCCGCGUGCGGGAUGAAGGUCUUCGGAUCGUAAACCUCUGUCAGCAGGGAAGAACAGUCACUGUGCUAAUCAGCAGUGAAUUGACGGUACCUUCACAGGAAGCACCGGCUAACUUCGUGCCAGCAGCCGCGGUAAUACGGAGGGUGCGAGCGUUAAUCGGAAUUACUGGGCGUAAAGCGCUCGUAGGCGGUAUGUCAAGUCAAGGGUGAAAUCCCCGCGCUCAACGUGGGAACUGCCUUUGAAACUGGCAAACUGGAGUGUGUGAGAGGAUAGUGGAAUUCCAGGUGUAGGAGUGAAAUCCGUAGAUAUCUGGAGGAACAUCAGUGGCGAAGGCGACUAUCUGGCACAUAACUGACGCUGAGGAGCGAAAGCGUGGGUAGCAAACAGGAUUAGAUACCCGAGUAGUC
Molecule: ribosomal RNA, 465 nt
Filed under: uncultured bacterium
Lineage: Bacteria
Description: partial 16S ribosomal RNA
Rfam family: Bacterial small subunit ribosomal RNA
Source: RNAcentral